This is a long non-coding RNA of Brassica napus (rape), 1369 nucleotides long. RefSeq lists it as uncharacterized. The record is from RefSeq and is a predicted model, not a curated record. Lineage: Eukaryota; Viridiplantae; Streptophyta; Magnoliopsida; Brassicales; Brassicaceae. The transcript has 5 exons.
AAGUAUGGUUUGCUCUCUCCUGGUGAAGCCACCUAGGAUUCCAAGUCACAAAUUCGGUUCUUGUGGUAUCGACACCUGUCCCUCUUUAGUUAUACUGUGCGUUUUGUUUUAUGGGCGACUUUACGUUUUAAUCUUGAAAUCCAUCACACGAUUAUCGUCUUCUUCCAAAACCAAUACCAAAUUUUAGGGUUCCUGUUCUUCUUCGAUCUCUGAAACCAUCAGUGUUCGUCGUUGUUCUCUGAGACCAACAAUGGAGAAUCGAGAUACCAACAAUGGAGUUUUCGAGAUGUUCAAUGCAACCUGUAACGCCUUUUAAGAGACGAAUCGUUAACGAAGCGACACCAAAGGAUCUCCACCUAUAAAAAGGUAGAUGGAUAGAUCUAGAUCCGGGGGCGUUGGGCCUUCCGGAAAACAACAUGGCUUGAAUCACUUCAUCUCGACGGCGGCGAAGAGUUUCCGCAACUAACAACGCUAACUCCCUAGAACGCCGGUGGUUUCACGUCGUUGAUUGAGCUUCCCCCUACCCAAGCAGUGGAGCUUCUCUAUUUAACUGAUUCUUCAUCGUUUUCUCCGGACAGUUUAGAUAUCAAUGCACCGCCACAUCACUCUUACUGGGACAUUGAUUCACACCUCUCGCUAAGGAGAAGCAGCAAAACGGAAACGGCUCCGGUGAGACUACUACUACGAGUAUUCAUAGUUCAUAGUUCUUCUUCUAUUUCUUAUAACGCAGUGACUGGUUUGUCGAUGGGAGGAAUUCACCAUUUUUAAAGGCUUUAGUGAAAGUGAAAGUGGCAGUGCUUCACAUUCAACUUACCCUCUCAAACAAUUAAUUACGAGUUCAAUACUGUUUCCAAACAGAGCAUGAUCAAUAUGCUAAAGCAAGAAACAGGGAAGGAUGAUAUAGAAGCUGGGAGUAUCCGAAUGAAUAUUCUACAUGCAUUUUGAGAAGAUGCUUUACUUUACCAAAAGUAAAGGACAUAUAAUGAAUCUGUAGGAAAGUGAAGGCCAGGGUUAUAAGAAACAAGUAACAAGCCUAUAGAGCAUUCAACGAGCGAUGGUAAUGUGGAUGCUCCAUUCAUAUGCUAAUUUUGCAGAUUAUUGAACAGCAGCUGAAGGAUACUCUCAGCAAUUACAGAGUAUCAGUGGCAAACAGAGAAUUUACAAGUGAAACAUACUGGCACAGUACAAGAGGAGUGGAUGAAGCGGCAAAGCUGUUCGACGAAGUGUCUAACUGAGACACUUAAUCUCCUGCACUGCUUUAAGUUUGUCUAGAGAGAGAGAGGUAGAGAGAGAUGUACCUUUGUUGACUAAGAGAUGUGAAAUAUGUUAAGAUUCUUAUAUAUUAGAUUUCUCUUUACGGUUUCUUCUA